ACGGGUGAGUAACACGUAUGCAACCUACCUUCGAACAGGAGAAUAACCCGGCGAAAGUCGGACUAAUACUCCAUAAGUACAGGGAUCCCGCAUGGGAAUAUUGUUAAAGAUUUAUCGGUUGAAGAUGGGCAUGCGUUCCAUUAGCUAGUUGGUGAGGUAACGGCUCACCAAGGCAACGAUGGAUAGGGGAACUGAGAGGUUUAUCCCCCACACUGGUACUGAGACACGGACCAGACUCCUACGGGAGGCAGCAGUGAGGAAUAUUGGUCAAUGGAGGCAACUCUGAACCAGCCCACGUCGCGUGAAGGAUGACGGCCCUACGGGUUGUAAACUUCUUUUGUAAGGGAAUAAAGUUUAGUACGUGUACUAUUUUGCGUGUACCUUACGAAUAAGGAUCGGCUAACUCCGUGCCAGCAGCCGC
This 421-nucleotide ribosomal RNA is filed under the name uncultured bacterium. RNAcentral's name for it is "bacterial SSU rRNA". It matches the Rfam family "Bacterial small subunit ribosomal RNA", at positions 102 to 518 of the family's 1533-position model. The record is from RNAcentral.